AUUGAACGCUGGCGGCAGGCCUAACACAUGCAAGUCGAACGGUAACAGGAAACAGCUUGCUGUUUCGCUGACGAGUGGCGGACGGGUGAGUAAUGUCUGGGAAACUGCCUGAUGGAGGGGGAUAACUACUGGAAACGGUAGCUAAUACCGCAUAACGUCGCAAGACCAAAGAGGGGGACCCUCGGGCCUCUUGCCAUCGGAUGUGCCCAGAUGGGAUCAGCUUGUUGGUGGGGUAACGGCUCACCAAGGCGACGAUCCCUAGCUGGUCUGAGAGGAUGACCAGCCACACUGGAACUGCGACACGGUCCAGACUCCUACGGGGGGCAGCAGUGGGGAAUAUUGCACAAUGGGCGCAAACCUGAUGCAGCCAUGCCGCGUGUAUGAAGAAGGCCUUCGGGUUGUAAAGUACUUUCAGCGGGGAGGAAGGGAGUAAAGUUAAUACCUUUGCUCAUUGACGUUACCCGCAGAAGAAGCACCGGCUAACUCCGUG
Molecule: ribosomal RNA, 490 nt
Filed under: uncultured bacterium
Lineage: Bacteria
Description: partial 16S ribosomal RNA
Rfam family: Bacterial small subunit ribosomal RNA
Source: RNAcentral